RNAcentral lists this ribosomal RNA (95 nucleotides) under Neisseria gonorrhoeae. The record is from RNAcentral. RNAcentral also lists the same sequence under 1 other name. Lineage: Bacteria; Pseudomonadati; Pseudomonadota; Betaproteobacteria; Neisseriales; Neisseriaceae.
UGGUCCCACGCCUUCCCAUCCCGAACAGGACCGUGAAACGACUCAGCGCCGAUGAUAGUGUGGUUCUUCCAUGCGAAAGUAGGUCACUGCCAAAC